CGGGGCGUAGCGCAGUCUGGUAGCGCACUUGCAUGGGGUGCAAGGGGUCGCAGGUUCAAAUCCUGCCGUCCCGA
Molecule: transfer RNA, 74 nt
Organism: Nitrincola lacisaponensis
Lineage: Bacteria; Pseudomonadati; Pseudomonadota; Gammaproteobacteria; Oceanospirillales; Oceanospirillaceae
Rfam family: tRNA
About the family: Transfer RNA (tRNA) molecules are approximately 80 nucleotides in length. Their secondary structure includes four short double-helical elements and three loops (D, anti-codon, and T loops).
Source: Rfam